AUCCCGUGGUGCAGGCAUUUACGUAGUAGCUCCUUGAAUCUUUUCUAAACCUCGUAGAAGGAUUCAUCAUCCAUUUGUUGAAAAGUGGUGAUCUCAUUCCAUAACUU
This 107-nucleotide small nucleolar RNA is filed under the name Gossypium hirsutum (cotton). RNAcentral describes it as "Plant small nucleolar RNA R71". It matches the Rfam family "Plant small nucleolar RNA R71". From Rfam's summary of the family: R71 is a member of the C/D box family of snoRNAs containing the C (UGAUGA) and D (CUGA) box motifs. Multiple nearly identical copies of this snoRNA have been identified in Arabidopsis, and it is thought to function as a 2'-O-ribose methylation guide for 18S ribosomal RNA. RNAcentral also lists the same sequence under 1 other name. Lineage: Eukaryota; Viridiplantae; Streptophyta; Magnoliopsida; Malvales; Malvaceae. The record is from Rfam by way of RNAcentral.